This 497-nucleotide ribosomal RNA is filed under the name uncultured bacterium. RNAcentral describes it as "partial 16S ribosomal RNA". It matches the Rfam family "Bacterial small subunit ribosomal RNA", at positions 28 to 507 of the family's 1533-position model. The record is from RNAcentral.
GAUGAACGCUGGCGGCGUGCCUAAUACAUGCAAGUCGAGCGAACAGACGAGGAGCUUGCUCCUCUGACGUUAGCGGCGGACGGGUGAGUAACACGUGGAUAACCUACCUAUAAGACUGGGAUAACUUCGGGAAACCGGAGCUAAUACCGGAUAAUAUAUUGAACCGCAUGGUUCAAUAGUGAAAGACGGUUUUGCUGUCACUUAUAGAUGGAUCCGCGCCGUAUUAGCUAGUUGGUAAGGUAACGGCUUACCAAGGCGACGAUGCGUAGCCGACCUGAGAGGGUGAUCGGCCACACUGGAACUGAGACACGGUCCAGACUCCUACGGGAGGCAGCAGUAGGGAAUCUUCCGCAAUGGGCGAAAGCCUGACGGAGCAACGCCGCGUGAGUGAUGAAGGUCUUCGGAUCGUAAAACUCUGUUAUUAGGGAAGAACAAAUGUGUAAGUAACUAUGCACGUCUUGACGGUACCUAAUCAGAAAGCCACGGCUAACUACGUG